AUUGAACGCUGGCGGCAGGCCUAACACAUGCAAGUCGAACGAGUGGCGGACGGGUGAGUAAUGUCUGGGAACUGCCUGAUGGAGGGGGAUAACUACUGGAAACGGUAGCUAAUACCGCAUACUAUCGGAUAACCCAUAUGGGAUUAGCUAGUAGGUGAGGUAAUGGCUCACCUAGGCGACGAUCCCUAGCUGGUCUGCGAGGAUGAUCAGCAACACUGGGACUGAGACACGGCCCAGACUCCUACGGAGGCAGCAGUGGGGAAUAUUGCACAAUGGGCGCAAGCCUGAGGCAGCCAUGCCGCGUGAAUGAAGAAGGCCUUAGGGUUGUAAAGUACUUUCAGUCGGGAGGCGUUACCGACAGAAGAAGCACCGGCUAACUCCGUGCCAGCCGCCGCGGUAAUAC
This 403-nucleotide ribosomal RNA is filed under the name uncultured bacterium. Its description in RNAcentral is "partial 16S ribosomal RNA". It matches the Rfam family "Bacterial small subunit ribosomal RNA", at positions 30 to 526 of the family's 1533-position model. The record is from RNAcentral.